CCUUGCUAUACAUAAUCUGCGGAUGGGUCAAUCUCUGCCGUUCGUUUCAACCAACGGCUCAGAUGCAAAUCUCUAUUAAUAAAGAGAUAGAAAGAUAAAGAGAGGAGGAAGAGUGAGGCGAUUUCCAAUCUGAAACUGAAAGAGACGACUGAUUCGAGAGAGAGGGAAGAACAUGGCGAAUCAAGGCGGUUCUUGGAUUUUGAUUUGAGGAAGAGCAUGGGGACGGGAAGAGAACGAACAAUGCGAAUCUCGGUUCUUGGGUUCAUCUGAGAAGAACACAAAUCUGGAGACAGAUAGCGAGAGCGAAGAGAGCAAAGGAAGAAGGGAAAGAAGAAGACAUUCGGGAGAAGACAGAAAAGAGAAGAGACAAAAGAUUGGGUAGGAAUGAAGGAAAGGGACACCGAGGCAGAGCCAUUAAACCUUUGAUGCAGUUGAUUUUGGAUAACAAUCAUUUAGAUAGUGAAUUAGUAAUUGGCAAUUUUUUCGACAAAGGAAUCUGCUCUUGUAAUACCAUUAUUAUUCUUUUACAGCAUCUAUAGGCUAUAAUUUUCCUCAAUUAAGUUGAAGUGAAACUGUACGUAUGAUUAGUCAAAGCUCAGUUUUGUAUUAAUCUCUACUUUCUACCUUAACAAUCAAAACUUGGAUUGGUGCUUUUAAUGUAGAUUAUCUGCUCGCAGCCCGAAUGCGUUUUAAAGAUAACAAUUGAACUCUUCCAAAUGAACAACAUUAGUGUAAAUAGUUGGUAUUAAAGUGUAAAUAGUUGGUCUCUUUGAUUCUGCAGAUCUGUAUAUAUAUAUAUAUAGAGAGAGAGAAUGGAGUGUUGGUAUUAAAGUGUAAAUAGUUGAACUUAGUGUUUGAUUCUGCAGGUUUUGUGGUCUCUUUGACUCUGCAGUUUAUGGCUAGUCAAAAGUUGGAUUCUGCAGGUUUUGGAAGUGUUUGAUUCAUCAGUGCGAAUAUAACUGUUCCCACAUUUUUAUGUAAAGAUUGAGCCUUUAGCUUCAUUUUGAUAUUGGGUUUUGCUAUUACCAUGUUUGUCACACUUUCUGGAAUCAAGUUUAUGUUUUCGCUGCUAAGGCUUGGAAUUGUCAACAGCAUAUAUCAUAGCAUAGCAUCAACUUUGUGUAUUUUAAUUUGAAGGCUUUUAUUUCUGUCUAAUUGUUGGGUUUUGAAGUGGAUAGUUUUUCUUAUUUUAAUCUUAUAGCUUUUUGCUUAUUAAAUUAUAGGUGUGUUCAAUUUUGGUGGUGACUUGAUUUGUUGGUUUGUAUUGAAAUACUGUGUAUCUGCAUAUUGGAACAAAGUAGUGGAGAUACUCUGAUUUUGGUCCAAAAGGAGUAGUUGCCCUUAUUCGUCUUUCUGGAACAGCAGGGACGGUGGAUGUCUGUUACAAGAAGAUCAUGGCAUUGUCCAUGAAGUUUUUGUGGAAAUAAUAUGCUAGAAGCCUAGAAGGUGAUCUACUAGAAGAUUCUGCAGGUUUUGGAUGCCAUUUUGCAUCUUGUCAGAGUUGUUUUGGAUGCCAUUUUGCAUCAUGCCAUUCUGCAGGUUAUAUGGCAGAGUUGUUCAUAGUAUUGUUGGAAUAUUGUUGGAAUAGUGGCUAGUCAAAAGUUGCUGAUAUGUAAUGAUUCCAGAAAAUGAAUGUAAUUGUAAUGAUUCCAGAAAAUGAAUGUAAUUGUAAUGAUUCCAGACAAUGAAUGUAAUUGUAGUGAUUCCAGAAAAUGAAUGU
Long non-coding RNA from Rosa rugosa (rugosa rose), 1720 nucleotides. RefSeq lists it as uncharacterized. The transcript is spliced from 4 exons. The record is from RefSeq and is a predicted model, not a curated record. Lineage: Eukaryota; Viridiplantae; Streptophyta; Magnoliopsida; Rosales; Rosaceae.